This 506-nucleotide ribosomal RNA is filed under the name uncultured bacterium. RNAcentral describes it as "partial 16S ribosomal RNA". It matches the Rfam family "Bacterial small subunit ribosomal RNA", at positions 29 to 523 of the family's 1533-position model. The record is from RNAcentral.
AGUGAACGCUGGCGGCAGGCCUAACACAUGCAAGUCGAACGGCAGCACAGAGGAGCUUGCUCCUUGGGUGGCGAGUGGCGGACGGGUGAGGAAUGCAUCGGAAUCUGCCCAAUCGUGGGGGAUAACCUCGGGAAACCGGGACUAAUACCGCAUACGACCUUCGGGUGAAAGCAGGGGAUCGCAAGACCUUGCGCGAUUGGAUGAGCCGAUGCCGGAUUAGCUAGUUGGUGGGGUAAAGGCCCACCAAGGCGACGAUCCGUAGCUGGUCUGAGAGGAUGAUCAGCCACACUGGAACUGAGACACGGUCCAGACUCCUACGGGAGGCAGCAGUGGGGAAUAUUGGACAAUGGGCGCAAGCCUGAUCCGGCCAUGCCGCGUGGGUGAAGAAGGCCUUCGGGUUGUAAAGCCCUUUUGUUGGGAAAGAAAAGCAAUCGGUUAAUACCCGGUUGUUCUGACGGUACCCAAAGAAUAAGCACCGGCUAACUUCGUGCCAGCCGCCGCUGUAA